AGAAGAUUCUGUCCACAUUUAGUGGCCCCACUGCUGUGGACAAGCAAGCACCUUGUGGUGGUGUGCAUGUUGGAGUGAAGGCCACCAAAGAGAAGGAAAGGAAAGAAGUGGCUGUAGUCUCCUCAUUGCCUUGACUGGCCUGUCUUUAAUAACCUAAGGGGCUGCUAGUAAGUCCCACUUGUUGAAGUUUCUACCACCUCCUCGAAGUACCACGCUGGAGACAAAGAUGAUACAGGGUUACAGGAACAGUCCAUGGAUGAAGUCAGAUGAACCUGUACUAGGAUAUGCAAGCUGCGAUAACGUAAAUGAGAAAAAGGUGGUUCUGGAAUACAUCUGUUUCUAAUGUUUGUCAGUUUUGUUUUGUUUGUUUGUUUUUUUAAUGUGGUACAUUGCAAACUAAUGAAAAAAUUGCUUCUACUUGGGGAGGGAGAAUCAAUGAGGGAUGUUUAUUACCAUGACACAGGCUAAGGAACUCAUUAGAGCAAGCUAUUGCUCACACGCUAUUCUUCUGAGAUGCAUUGCCUCCUUCUGCAUCCAUUCUUGUUUCUGCAGAAACUGAUUUGUACUUGCAAAAUAAUAAAUAUUCAUUUCCCAUGGA
Non-coding RNA from Peromyscus maniculatus bairdii (prairie deer mouse), 598 nucleotides. The record is from RefSeq and is a predicted model, not a curated record. NCBI's taxonomy places the organism in Eukaryota, Metazoa, Chordata, Mammalia, Rodentia, Cricetidae.